This 471-nucleotide ribosomal RNA is filed under the name uncultured bacterium. RNAcentral describes it as "bacterial SSU rRNA". It matches the Rfam family "Bacterial small subunit ribosomal RNA", at positions 335 to 798 of the family's 1533-position model. The record is from RNAcentral.
ACUCCUACGGGAGGCAGCAGUGGGGAAUAUUGCACAAUGGGGGAAACCCUGAUGCAGCCAUGCCGCGUGUAUGAAGAAGGCCUUCGGGUUGUAAAGUACUUUCAGCAGUGAGGAAGGUGGAUAUGUUAAUAGCAUAUUCAUUUGACGUUAGCGACAGAAGAAGCACCGGCUAACUCCGUGCCAGCAGCCGCGGUAAUACGGAGGGUGCGAGCGUUAAUCGGAAUUACUGGGCGUAAAGCGCAUGCAGGUGGUUUGUUAAGCCAGAUGUGAAAGCCCCGGGCUCAACCUGGGAACGGCAUUUCGAACUGGCAAGCUAGAGUACAGUAGAGGGUGGCGGAAUUUCCUGUGUAGCGGUGAAAUGCGUAGAGAUCUGAAGGAAUACCGAUGGCGAAGGCAGCCACCUGGGUCAACACUGACGCUCAUGUACGAAAGCGUGGGGAGCAAACAGGAUUAGAUACCCUGGUAGGCUCU